GGAAUAUUGGACAAUGGGGGAAACCCUGAUCCAGCAAUGCCGCGUGUGUGAAGAAGGCCUGCGGGUUGUAAAGCACUUUCAGUAGAGAAGAAAAGCGCACGGUUAAUACCCGUGUGUCUUGACGUAACCUACAGAAGAAGCACCGGCUAACUCCGUGCCAGCGGCCGCGGUAAUACGGAGGGUGCAAGCGUUAAUCGGAAUUACUGGGCGUAAAGCGCGUGUAGGCGGCUUGGCAAGUCGGGUGUGAAAUCCCCGGGCUCAACCUGGGAACUGCAUUCGAUACUGCAUUGCUGGAGUAUGGGAGAGGGAAGUGGAAUUUCCGGUGUAGCGGUGAAAUGCGUAGAUAUCGGAAGGAACACCAGUGGCGAAAGCGACUUCCUGGACCAAUACUGACGCUCAGGUGCGAAAGCGUGGGGAGCAAAC
This 423-nucleotide ribosomal RNA is filed under the name uncultured bacterium. RNAcentral describes it as "bacterial SSU rRNA". It matches the Rfam family "Bacterial small subunit ribosomal RNA", at positions 358 to 773 of the family's 1533-position model. The record is from RNAcentral.